This 461-nucleotide ribosomal RNA is filed under the name uncultured bacterium. RNAcentral describes it as "bacterial SSU rRNA". It matches the Rfam family "Bacterial small subunit ribosomal RNA", at positions 10 to 519 of the family's 1533-position model. The record is from RNAcentral.
AGUUUGAUCCUGGCUCAGAACGAACGCUGGCGGCAGGCUUAACACAUGCAAGUCGAGCGCCCCGCAAGGGGAGCGGCAGACGGGUGAGUAACGCGUGGGAAUCUACCCAUCUCUACGGAAUAACGCAUGGAAACGUGUGCUAAUACCGUAUACGUCCUUCGGGAGAAAGAUUUAUCGGAGAUGGAUGAGCCCGCGUUGGAUUAGCUAGUUGGUGGGGUAAAGGCCUACCAAGGCGACGAUCCAUAGCUGGUCUGAGAGGAUGAUCAGCCACACUGGGACUGAGACACGGCCCAGACUCCUACGGGAGGCAGCAGUGGGGAAUAUUGGACAAUGGGCGCAAGCCUGAUCCAGCCAUGCCGCGUGAGUGAUGAAGGCCCUAGGGUUGUAAAGCUCUUUCACCGGUGAAGAUAAUGACGGUAACCGGAGAAGAAGCCCCGGCUAACUUCGUGCCAGCAGCCGCG